Molecule: long non-coding RNA, 1628 nt
Filed under: Sus scrofa (pig)
Lineage: Eukaryota; Metazoa; Chordata; Mammalia; Artiodactyla; Suidae
Description: lncRNA (ENSSSCG00040048702.1, ENSSSCG00060078987.1, ENSSSCG00180042997.1)
Source: RNAcentral
UUUUCUUUCAUACUGUUAUUAUUUUUUAUUAUUUGUUUAUUCUAUUUGAAUAUGGUAAGGAGACAUGCGCCCUCCAAUUUCCCAUAGCCCUCCCCCUCCAUAUUUUCUCGGGCUGAGUACUUCACAUAUGCAUAGAACCUUUUGAGCUCCUGAAGGCAUUAAUGAGAACUAUCCCUGGAAAUGAUUCUUUCAACUUGGUACUUAAAUAAAGGAAGUGGUGAGAAUUAGUCGAGAAUGUCUCAGCUUGAAAUGAUUCACUAACACAUUUUGCUGUACAGCAGAAAUUGGCACGACAUGGUAGAUCAACUAUACUUUAAUCAAAAAUGUUUAAAAAUGUGCAUUUCAAUAGGAAUCACAGAGGAUUCAAAUGUAUAUUAAAGUUUGAGAACUACUGCUCUGUAACCACCUGCGGUAGUUUGAAAACAUGGCCACAAAUGAUUUGACUUUCCUGCCAUUGAGAGUGGAAGGGUGCUAUCACCUGAAUGUUUGGGUUCCCCCCAAAGCUGAUAUAUUGAAAUCCUAAUCCCCCAAAUGAUGGUGUUAGAAGGUGGGGGCUUUGAGAAGUGCUUAAGUCACGAGGGUGGGGCCCUCAAAAAUAGGAUUAGUGCCUUAUGAGACCCUAGAGAGCUCCCUCACGGCUUCUACCAUGUGAGGAUACUACAGAGGGUUCCAGCUAUGAACCAGAAAGCCAGCCUUUACCAGACUGUGGCCAUGCUGGUGCCUUGAUCUUGGACUUCCCAGUCUCCAGAACUGCGAGAAAUACAAUUUUCUUCUAUUUACAAGCUACCCAAUCCAUGAUAUGUUGUUUUAACAGCCUGAACGGACUGAGAGAAGAGGGGUCUGUGUCCCUCCAUUGAUGCUGGGUGAGCGGAUGCCUGCUUUGACCAAUAGAGUAUGGCUCAAGUGGCAUCAUGUGAUUUCCAAAGUUAUGCCACAUUCUACCUUGUUCACUGUAAUAUUCUUUGAGCAGCCAGGUAAGGAAUCCAUAUCUUGAGGCUCUGGAGCUAGAGAGGCCACAUGCUUUAGCCAACAGUCCAAAGUGAGCCCAGCCUCUGAAGAACCAUUUCCAUUAAGGUGCCAGGCACAUGAAUGGAUUCAUCUUAGACCCUCUAGACCAGCCCCUCUGCUCACUGAACAUCAAGGAGUGAUUGCUGUCAACACCAUGUGAAAGAAAAGAAUCACCACAAUAGGAGUUCCCGUCGUGGCUCAGUGGUGAACAAAUUUGACUAGGAACCAUGAGGUUGGGGGUUUGAUCCCUGGCCUCACUCAGUGGGUUAACGAUCUGGCGUUGCUGUGAGCUGUGGUGUGGGUCACAGAGGUGGCUCAGAUACCGCAUUGCUGUGGUGUAGGCUGGCGGCUACAGCUCCGAUUCGACCCCUAGCCUGGGAACCUCCAUAUGCUGCAGGUGAGGCCCUAAAAAGACAAAACAAAGUUGUUUUAAGGCACAGAGUCUUGGGGUACUCGGUUAUACAGCAGUGGGUAACCACAACACAAUCCUCAAACUUAGCUGCACUCCAAACACACCUCUCCCUUGAGAAUGAAUGAACUGGUCAGGGGUCCAGCCUGGGCACUGGGAUGUUUAAAAUCGCCGAAGGUAAUUCCACUCCUCAACCAAGGUUUAGAAUCCC